This 281-nucleotide unclassified non-coding RNA is filed under the name Boliniaceae sp. RNAcentral's name for it is "partial contains 5.8S ribosomal RNA, internal transcribed spacer 2, and large subunit ribosomal RNA". The record is from RNAcentral. Lineage: Eukaryota; Fungi; Ascomycota; Sordariomycetes; Boliniales; Boliniaceae.
CGCACAUUGCGCCCGCCAGUAUUCUGGCGGGCAUGCCUGUCCGAGCGUCAUUUCAACCCCUCAAGCCCCGUGCUUGGUGCUAGGGUCUCCUACGUGCGCCGUAGGCCCCGAAUUCCAGUGGCGGGCUCGCCGUGAUCUCGAGCGUAGUGGUAUUACCUCGCUCAGGGCGCGCGGCGGGCGCCGGCCGUAAAACGAAAAUCAGGGGGCAGGGCGGUGCGAGAGCGCCAGGACCCCCCCUACAGGUUGACCUCGGAUCAGGUAGGAAUACCCGCUGAACUUAA